RNAcentral lists this ribosomal RNA (287 nucleotides) under uncultured bacterium. RNAcentral describes it as "partial 16S ribosomal RNA". It matches the Rfam family "Bacterial small subunit ribosomal RNA", at positions 775 to 1067 of the family's 1533-position model. The record is from RNAcentral.
GGAUUAGAUACCCUGGUAGUCCACGCCGUAAACGAUGAUCACUAGCUAUUGGCGAUACACUGUCAGUGGCACAGCGAAAGUGUUAAGUGAUCCACCUGGGGAGUACGAUCGCAAGGUUGAAACUCAAAGGAAUUGACGGGGGCCCGCACAAGCGGUGGAGCAUGUGGUUUAAUUCGAUGAUACGCGAGGAACCUUACCAGGGCUUAAAUGUAUGUUGACAUAUUGGGAAACCAGUAUUUCUUCGGACAAUAUACAAGGUGCUGCAUGGCCGUCGUCAGCUCGUGCUG